GGCGGCGUGCCUAACACAUGCAAGUCGAACGAGAAAGUGGAGCAAUCCAUGAGUAAAGUGGCGACCGGGUGAGUAACACGUGACUAACCUACCCUCGAGUGGGGAAUAACUCCGGGAAACCGGGGCUAAUACCGCAUAACAUCGCAAGAUCAAAGCAGCAAUGCGCUUGAGGAGGGGGUCGCGGCUGAUUAGCUAGUUGGCGGGGUAACGGCCCACCAAGGCGAAGAUCGGUAUCCGGCCUGAGAGGGCGCACGGACACACUGGAACUGAAACACGGUCCAGACUCCUACGGGAGGCAGCAGUGGGGAAUUUUGCGCAAUGGGGGAAACCCUGACGCAGCAACGCCGCGUGGAGGAUGAAGCCCUUUGGGGCGUAAACUCCUUUCGACUCGGACGAUAAUGACGGUACGAGUGGAAGAAGCACCGGCUAACUCUGUGCCAGCAGUCGCGGUAAUACAGAGGGUGCGAGCGUUGUUCGGAAUUAUUGGGCGUAAAGGGCGCGUANGCGGUGCGGUAAGUCACCUGUGAAAUCUCCUGGCUUAACUGGGAGCCUGCAGGCGAAACUACCGUGCUGGAGUGUGGGAGAGGUGCGUGGAA
Molecule: ribosomal RNA, 596 nt
Filed under: uncultured bacterium
Lineage: Bacteria
Description: bacterial SSU rRNA
Rfam family: Bacterial small subunit ribosomal RNA
Source: RNAcentral